GUGGGGAAUUUUGGACAAUGGGCGAAAGCCUGAUCCAGCAAUGCCGCGUGUGUGAAGAAGGCCUUCGGGUUGUAAAGCACUUUUGUCCGGAAAGAAAUCCUUUGGGUUAAUACCUCGGAGGGAUGACGGUACCGGAAGAAUAAGGACCGGCUAACUACGUGCCAGCAGCCGCGGUAAUACGUAGGGUCCGAGCGUUAAUCGGAAUUACUGGGCGUAAAGCGUGCGCAGGCGGUUUUGUAAGACAGAUGUGAAAUCCCCGGGCUUAAACUGGGAAUUGCAUUUGUGACUGCAAGGCUAGAGUGUGUCAGAGGGGGGUAGAAUUCCACGUGUAGCAGUGAAAUGCGUAGAGAUGUGGAGGAAUACCGAUGGCGAAGGCAGCCCCCUGGGAUAACACUGACGCUCAUGCACGAAAGCGUGGGGAGCAAACAGGAUUAGAAACCCCAGUAGUCC
This 450-nucleotide ribosomal RNA is filed under the name uncultured bacterium. Its description in RNAcentral is "partial 16S ribosomal RNA". It matches the Rfam family "Bacterial small subunit ribosomal RNA", at positions 354 to 796 of the family's 1533-position model. The record is from RNAcentral.